ACAGCUAAAGUCGCCCCGCCAUUAAUGUCGCAUUAAAAAGGAAUUAAAAAGGAUAAAGAAACGAAAUAACAGAAAGACAGCCUCGUCGCCACCACCGCUUUCCAGAAACCGUUAAAUCAGAUAUUGGUUAGCAACCGUCGACCAGGGAGGCGAUUGAUCGUCGUCAGCCAUGGAGGUCCGACCCAACCCGACGGCCGACAACUCGUCGGCCAUGCAGCAGCAGCGUCAGCGCCAUACACCCGCUUCUAGUCAGAAAAAGCCGCCUGCUUCUUCCAUCCCCGUCGACACCACCUCCGUUUCUCAAAGGCUUCAGAAGGAGUUGAUGUCUCUCAUGAUGAGUGGAGGAGAUCUUGGAGUAUCGGCUUUUCCUGAAGGUGAGAGCAUUUUUACAUGGGUUGGCACAAUCGAAGGUGGAAAAGGAACUAUGUAUGAGGGUUUUUCCUACAAGCUGUCUUUGCGUUUUCCUCUGGACUAUCCUUUCAAGCCACCGCAAGUCAAGUUUGAGACAAUGUGCUUCCAUCCAAAUGUUGAUCAGUUUGGCAACAUAUGUCUUGAUAUCUUGCAGGACAAGUGGUCUUCAGCUUACGAUUGCAGGACUAUUCUACUCUCCAUUCAAAGUCUGUUGGGAGAACCAAACCCGGAGAGCCCCCUCAACAGCUAUGCUGCUGCUCUGUGGAGUAACAAGGAAGACUUUGUACGCAAUGACCUUCUAGGAUUCAUAUAGCCGACCCCACUUAGUGGGAAAAGGCUUUGCUGUUGUUGUACCUUAUGCAAAUUUACCGUAAGCUAUGAAUGUCGAAACUAAUGUUUCAAACUUGAACAUCAUGGAAUAUGAUGCCAGAUUACAAAAAAAUGGUCCACCGACAGUACUUUGCCGGAGAAUCAAUCGAGAGCUGACUUGUGCAUAUAACUCACGACGGAGGACAACAUUGUCAUGCGGCCCCUGAUUUGUGUACAGCUCCGGGGAGGUGAAAAUUCUGCAAUGAAAAGUGAAGUUUCUCAACGAAUCCGGGGUGAUGGAAACGCUAACCCUGGCCAACCUUGUUUAUAUUGCCUGUCCUCUGUGAUUGCUAAAUAAAGACAAUAAGAAGUUGUAAAUUUGGUUGAAUCAAAUGAAGGUGAAAACUGUUUCUCUAAUGACUGGAGGAGGCACCAUUCCCACAUAUUUUUAGACUUCCAAGUUUCAAAUGGUUGAUGGAUGAUA
Molecule: non-coding RNA, 1204 nt
Organism: Malus domestica (apple)
Lineage: Eukaryota; Viridiplantae; Streptophyta; Magnoliopsida; Rosales; Rosaceae
Source: RefSeq, a predicted model, not a curated record